Molecule: ribosomal RNA, 481 nt
Filed under: uncultured bacterium
Lineage: Bacteria
Description: partial 16S ribosomal RNA
Rfam family: Bacterial small subunit ribosomal RNA
Source: RNAcentral
GACGAACGCUGGCGGCGUGCUUAACACAUGCAAGUCGAGCGAUGAAGUUUUUUCGGAAAUGGACUAGCGGCGAACGGGUGAGGAACACGUGAAGAAUCUGACCUCCACUUUGGGACAACACAGGGAAACCUGUGCUAAUACCGAAUCUUGACACAUAAGUGGCAUCACUGAGUUUUGUAAGAAUUUCGGUGGAGGAUGACUUCGCGGCCUAUCAGCUAGUUGGUGAGGUAACGGCUCGCCAAGGAAACGACGGGUAGCCGGCCUGAGAGGGCGACCGGCCACACUGGGACUGAGACACGGCCCAGACUCCUACGGGAGGCAGCGGUGGGGAAUAUUGGGCAAUGGAGGAAACGCUGACCCAGCGACGCCGCGUGCGGGAUGAAGGCCUUCCGGUUGUAAACCGCUUUCAGUAGGGAAGAAGCGAAAGUGGCGGUACCUACAAAAGAAGCACCGGCUAACUAUGUGCCAGCCGCCGCAGUAA